CUGGGUCUGGGCCUCGUGCCCGCUACCCGUCCUUUGUCAUGAGACGCGAAAGCAACUCACAUCGCUUCGGCCCCGGGCGACACCCCGCUAUUGAGUUAGCGGGCGGACCCCGCGGCCGGCCUUGCAAACCCACGCGGAAUCUUGAAGUCUGAACAAAAGAUAAACGAAAAGCA
This 173-nucleotide unclassified non-coding RNA is filed under the name uncultured Venturiaceae. RNAcentral's name for it is "sequence contains ITS1". The record is from RNAcentral. Lineage: Eukaryota; Fungi; Ascomycota; Dothideomycetes; Venturiales; Venturiaceae.